UAUGGCGAUAUCGCGGAUGACGUCGUAGCCGAUCAGAAGAAUUGCGCGCUUGAUCGUCGUGAUUUUCUCUGGGCUGCGAUGGUAAUACGGGCUAUUGGCAAUGACCAGGACCCGGGCGACAAAGGCCUGGUCACGGCGGAUCGUAUGGACAAGGAGAUCGACAUCAGUAGCCGGUGAUGAAAGCAGCGCAAUGAGUUUGGCCGACGUCUCGCGGAUAACAGGAAGGUGGCCCGCGAGCUUGUCGGUGAGCUCUGAGACAAGGCCGGGCGGAUCAG
This 275-nucleotide unclassified non-coding RNA is filed under the name uncultured fungus. RNAcentral describes it as "sequence contains ITS1". Lineage: Eukaryota; Fungi. The record is from RNAcentral.